This 1312-nucleotide long non-coding RNA is filed under the name Mytilus galloprovincialis (Mediterranean mussel). The record is from RNAcentral. Lineage: Eukaryota; Metazoa; Mollusca; Bivalvia; Mytilida; Mytilidae.
ACUAACUGUUGCAAGGGUUCUUAAAGUGUAUGGGGUCACUGGACUUGCAUUCUUGCUACAUAUUAAAUAGAAAAUUCACACCAACUUCUAACAUAAAAAUUAUUUUAUCUGAGGUAUCUCCCCUACUAUCUUAGUUAUCACGCCUUACCGAACUCCCAAACAGUGGCUACCUUCUCUUUACUACGCAGCGUUGACAUGAAUGUUGCUUGCAAUGCAACUUCCAAGCAAGGACUGAAGCUCAUAAACUCGAAAAUCAGUUGAACGCAAGACCUCGAGAUAGUUCGGAGAGCCAACAACCUUGCUUCGAAUGUUGGUUGCAAUGAUGAUAAUUUGGUGAAGCAACGUCACCACUGUUUCUGAGUUUGUAAUUCUUAAAACUUCUCUAAGUUAUCUCCUUUACUGUCAUAGUUAUCUUUCUUUAUGUGGCAAAGUAAAAAAAAGUAAGAAACAAAAUAUGAUUAAACACUUAAUUUUCGGUAUAAAAAUGAAAUUCUUAUACAUGAAUUACAUGCCACUCUAAAAGAAAUUGCACAUUUAAUUUAAAAGGUCUAGAACCAAUUGUUACCUGCUACUUCAAAAUCAAAAAUGGGAGACACUCCAACAAUUUGAACCAAUUCAAUUCAUGCCACGUCUUAUACAUUACAACUUAAAUGACGUGUUGGGUCAGCUCCUCUUUACUCUCUAUUUACGAUGUUGGUUUAAUGAUACAUGGAUCAACUACUUUAAAACUACUUUCGAUGGCAGAAACCUAUCCAACGCUAGACAGUACGUCCUUGUUGUUUUAAGUAAAUACCCGCGUAAACAUGUACACCGAUACACCCAUUUAUUUGGGGAAUGUAUGCAGACUGACGUCCGAGAGUUUGUAUCGUAGAUGUUGGAUAAUAGACCGCCAUUUCACAGUUUACUUACGACUUUGGUCCUGAUAAUGCUUCUUGUCUUCGUUAACAAACUUACGACUAAGCUUGGUCGUAAGUUCAAGACUUGUGAUCAAUCUUACUCGUAGGUUUAUUGGUGAAACCGACUUCUGGUUACAAGUUUUAAUCUUGAAAGUAUUUGGAAUAAAACAUUUGAUUUUUUUUAAUUUGAAAACUAAUGUAACGUUUCUUAUUUUGCCAAGAAGUUAUUGAAAAUAUCUAACAUGUUUUGAUUGUAGCGUUUACGAAAUUAAUCUUGAUAUGGUAGACCAGUAGUAUUGAAAUCAAUAUUUAUAACCUUUUGGAUAUUUUUUAGUAAACUAUUAAGAUAUAUCUUAAUAUACUGUUUAAUAUACUUUAGAAAUAAACAUUUCAAGAAUUCUUUUGUUUUUAUUUUU